AAUAAAUAACAGUGCAAAUUAUCGUAACUAGUUUUGUGAGAAUAAU
Molecule: non-coding RNA, 46 nt
Filed under: Trypanosoma brucei brucei
Lineage: Eukaryota; Euglenozoa; Kinetoplastea; Trypanosomatida; Trypanosomatidae
Source: RNAcentral